GGGGGACGGGGGAGUAACGCGUGGUUGACCGCACCUGUACAGACGGAUAACAUACCGGAAGGGAUGAUACGAGGGGAUAAUAUUGUUGGGGGGCAACUCUUAAAGAUCAAAGGGGAGCCAGUACAGGAGGGACCCGCGUCUGAUUAGCUAGUUGGGAAGGUAACGGCUUACCAAGGCGACGAUCAGUAGCCGACCUGAGAGGGUGACCGGCCACAUUGGAACUGAGACACGGUCCAAACUCCUACGGGAGGCAGCAGUGGGGAAUAUUGCACAAGGGGCGAAAGCAUGAUGCAGCAACGCCGCGUGAGUGCUUAAGGCCUUCGGGUCGUAAAACUCUGUCCUCAAGGCAGAUACUGACGGUACUUGAGGAGGCAGCCCCGGCUAACUACGUGCCAGCAGCCGCGGUCAUACGCAGGGGGCUAGCGGUAUCCGGAUUUACUG
This 441-nucleotide ribosomal RNA is filed under the name Clostridioides difficile. RNAcentral's name for it is "bacterial SSU rRNA". It matches the Rfam family "Bacterial small subunit ribosomal RNA", at positions 97 to 556 of the family's 1533-position model. Lineage: Bacteria; Bacillati; Bacillota; Clostridia; Peptostreptococcales; Peptostreptococcaceae. The record is from RNAcentral.